UACGGAGGGUGCAAGCGUUAAUCGGAAUUACUGGGCGUAAAGCGCGCGUAGGCGGCUUGAUAAGCCGGUUGUGAAAGCCCCGGGCUCAACCUGGGAACGGCAUCCGGAACUGUCAGGCUAGAGUGCGGGAGAGGGAGGUAGAAUUCCCGGUGUAGCGGUGAAAUGCGUAGAGAUCGGGAAGGAAUACCAGUGGCGAAGGCGGCCAUCUGGACUGAUACUGACGCUGAGGUGCGAAAGCGUGGGUAGCAAACAGG
Molecule: unclassified non-coding RNA, 254 nt
Filed under: uncultured Halomonadaceae bacterium
Lineage: Bacteria; Pseudomonadati; Pseudomonadota; Gammaproteobacteria; Oceanospirillales; Halomonadaceae
Description: contains 16S-23S intergenic spacer region
Rfam family: Bacterial small subunit ribosomal RNA
Source: RNAcentral